This 57-nucleotide transfer RNA is filed under the name Bos taurus (domestic cattle). It matches the Rfam family "tRNA", at positions 8 to 63 of the family's 71-position model. From Rfam's summary of the family: Transfer RNA (tRNA) molecules are approximately 80 nucleotides in length. The record is from Rfam by way of RNAcentral. RNAcentral also lists the same sequence under 3 other names. Lineage: Eukaryota; Metazoa; Chordata; Mammalia; Artiodactyla; Bovidae.
UAGCUCAGUUGGUAAAGAAUCUGCCUUCAAUGCAGGAGACCCGGGUUCGAUUCCUGG